RNAcentral lists this ribosomal RNA (861 nucleotides) under Allogalathea elegans. RNAcentral's name for it is "partial 16S ribosomal RNA". The stretch from base 738 to 861 matches the Rfam family "Bacterial large subunit ribosomal RNA", at positions 2473 to 2597 of the family's 2925-position model. The record is from RNAcentral. Lineage: Eukaryota; Metazoa; Arthropoda; Malacostraca; Decapoda; Galatheidae.
GAUAGAUAUUAAUUUAAAAUAUUUAAUCUAAGAAUAUAAGGGUAGAGCUUUAUCAUUCAAUAAUAAAUGAAAUAUAAGUUAAUAAGUAUUUAUUUUGAUAAUUAGGUUUUUUAGUGGCCAUAUUUUUAAAGUGUUUUAACUAAUAUAAUUGAAUAAUUUAUUUAUUAGAUUUUAUUAAAUUAAUAAUAUGUUUUUUAAAAUGGAUAAAUAUUAGAAAUAAUGAAAAUAUUAGUAGAAUUAAUAUAUGAGAAAAAAGAAAAGUAUUAAAAGUAAAAUAUGAAAAUAGUUAAGAAAAAAAUAGAGGAACUCGGCAAAUAAGGUUCUUGCCUGUUUAACAAAAACAUGUCUCUAUGAAGUUAUAUGAAGUCUGACCUGCCCAUUGAAAUUUAUUAAAAGGCCGCGGUAUAUUAACUGUGCAAAGGUAGCAUAAUUAGUAGUUUUUUAAUUGAAGGCUUGUAUGAAAGGUUGGACAAGGGAUAAGCUGUCUUUAUUUUUAUUUUUGAAUUUGUCUUUUAAGUGAAAAGACUUAAAUAAGUUUAAGGGACGAUAAGACCCUAUAAAUCUUUAUAUUAGUUUAAUUUUAUUUUAAAUUUUAAUGUUUAAAAGAGUAAAGUUAUAUAGUAUUGUAUUGGGGUGAUAGGAAUAAUUAGUAAACUGUUCGAAGGUAUAAACAAAAAUAUUUGAUUAUAAUUAUUAGUAGAUCCUUAGUGGAGAUUACAAGUUUAAGUUACUUUAGGGAUAACAGCGUUAUUUUUUUUGAGAGUUCUAAUCGAAAAAGAAGUUUGCGACCUCGAUGUUGAAUUAAAAUUUCUUUGUGGUGUAGUAGUUACAAGAGAGAGUCUGUUCGACUUUUAAAAUUUU